Molecule: ribosomal RNA, 1010 nt
Filed under: Acinetobacter beijerinckii
Lineage: Bacteria; Pseudomonadati; Pseudomonadota; Gammaproteobacteria; Moraxellales; Moraxellaceae
Description: bacterial SSU rRNA
Rfam family: Bacterial small subunit ribosomal RNA
Source: RNAcentral
AACACAUGCAAGUCGAGCGGGGAAAGGUAGCUUGCUACCUAACCUAGCGGCGGACGGGUGAGUAAUGCUUAGGAAUCUGCCUAUUAGUGGGGGACAACAUUCCGAAAGGAAUGCUAAUACCGCAUACGUCCUACGGGAGAAAGCAGGGGACCUUCGGGCCUUGCGCUAAUAGAUGAGCCUAAGUCGGAUUAGCUAGUUGGUGGGGUAAAGGCCUACCAAGGCGACGAUCUGUAGCGGGUCUGAGAGGAUGAUCCGCCACACUGGGACUGAGACACGGCCCAGACUCCUACGGGAGGCAGCAGUGGGGAAUAUUGGACAAUGGGGGGAACCCUGAUCCAGCCAUGCCGCGUGUGUGAAGAAGGCCUUUUGGUUGUAAAGCACUUUAAGCGAGGAGGAGGCUACUAGUAUUAAUACUACUGGAUAGUGGACGUUACUCGCAGAAUAAGCACCGGCUAACUCUGUGCCAGCAGCCGCGGUAAUACAGAGGGUGCGAGCGUUAAUCGGAUUUACUGGGCGUAAAGCGUGCGUAGGCGGCUGAUUAAGUCGGAUGUGAAAUCCCUGAGCUUAACUUAGGAAUUGCAUUCGAUACUGGUCAGCUAGAGUAUGGGAGAGGAUGGUAGAAUUCCAGGUGUAGCGGUGAAAUGCGUAGAGAUCUGGAGGAAUACCGAUGGCGAAGGCAGCCAUCUGGCCUAAUACUGACGCUGAGGUACGAAAGCAUGGGGAGCAAACAGGAUUAGAUACCCUGGUAGUCCAUGCCGUAAACGAUGUCUACUAGCCGUUGGGGCCUUUGAGGCUUUAGUGGCGCAGCUAACGCGAUAAGUAGACCGCCUGGGGAGUACGGUCGCAAGACUAAAACUCAAAUGAAUUGACGGGGGCCCGCACAAGCGGUGGAGCAUGUGGUUUAAUUCGAUGCAACGCGAAGAACCUUACCUGGUCUUGACAUAGUAAGAACUUUCCAGAGAUGGAUUGGUGCCUUCGGGAACUUACAUACAGGUGCUGCAUGGCUGUCG